This 299-nucleotide unclassified non-coding RNA is filed under the name Zea mays. RNAcentral describes it as "misc RNA Zm00001eb050940". The record is from RNAcentral. Lineage: Eukaryota; Viridiplantae; Streptophyta; Magnoliopsida; Poales; Poaceae.
CAGGCUGGUGAGUUUCACAACACAAGCAUGAUUCGUCCAGUAGAGAGAGAGAGAGAUAGAGAAAGAGAGAGCGGUGCAGAGCAGCCAGCCAUUGGAAGCUGUGGGUCUGCCCGGGACAAGGCGACCACCCUUGCAGCCUUCCCUGUGCCGGGCAGCAAAUUUUCUCGAGCUAGAGUACCACAAGAAACCAAAGCUAGUAGUAGACAAAGAACUGGUAGGGGCGUGCCUUUCGCGGCUUCCAAUAAAACCCCUGACUUGCUGCAAGCCCUUUGCCUUUUCCCCCCUCACAGCUUUGGUUG